CCUACGGGCGGCUGCAGUGAGGAAUAUUGGUCAAUGGGCGGGAGCCUGAACCAGCCAAGUCGCGUGAGGGAAGACGGUCCUAUGGAUUGUAAACCUCUUUAGGCGGGGAGCAAUGCCGGGCACGCGUGCCCGGAGGGAGAGUACCCGCAGAAUAAGCAUCGGCUAACUCCGUGCCAGCAGCCGCGGUAAUACGGAGGAUGCGAGCGUUAUCCGGAUUUUUUGGGUUUAAGGGGUGCGUAGGCGGAUUUUUAAGUCAGCGGUAAAUUGUCCGGGCUCAACCCGGGCCGGCCGUUGAAACUGGGGAUCUUGAGUGGGCGAGAAGAAGGCGGAAUGCGUGGUGUAGCGGUGAAAUGCAUAGAUAUCACGCAGAACCCCGAUUGCGAAGGCAGCCUUCCGGCGCCCUACUGACGCUGAGGCACGAAAGUGCGGGGAUCGAACAGGAUUAGAUACCCCAGUAGUC
This 460-nucleotide ribosomal RNA is filed under the name uncultured bacterium. RNAcentral's name for it is "partial 16S ribosomal RNA". It matches the Rfam family "Bacterial small subunit ribosomal RNA", at positions 338 to 795 of the family's 1533-position model. The record is from RNAcentral.